UACGUAGGUGGCGAGCGUUGUCCGGAUUUACUGGGCGUAAAGAGCGCGCAGGCGGUCGUUCAAGUCGGAUGUGAAAGCCCCCGGCUCAACUGGGGAGGGUCAUUCGAUACUGAUCGACUCGAAGGCAGGAGAGGGAAGCGGAAUUCCCGGUGUAGUGGUGAAAUACGCAGAUAUCAGGAGGAACACCGGUGGCGAAGGCGGAUCUCUGGGCCAUUACUGACGCUGAGGAGCGAAAGCGUGGGGAGCGAACAGG
This 253-nucleotide ribosomal RNA is filed under the name uncultured bacterium. RNAcentral's name for it is "partial 16S ribosomal RNA". It matches the Rfam family "Bacterial small subunit ribosomal RNA", at positions 524 to 776 of the family's 1533-position model. The record is from RNAcentral.